GACGAACCGUGCGAACGUUAUUCGGAAUCACUGGGCUUAAAGCGCGUGUAGGCGGGUCGGCGCGUCGGUCGCUGAAAUCCCCCGGCUCAACCGGGGAAGGGGCGCCGAAACGGCCGGCCUGGAGGGACGUAGGGGGGGCUGGAACUUCCGGUGGAGCGGUGAAAUGCGUUGAGAUCAUGAGGAAGACCAGUGGCGAAGGCGGGUCUCUGGACAGUUCCUGACACUGAGGCACGAAGGUCAGGGGAGCAAACGGG
Molecule: ribosomal RNA, 254 nt
Filed under: uncultured bacterium
Lineage: Bacteria
Description: partial 16S ribosomal RNA
Rfam family: Bacterial small subunit ribosomal RNA
Source: RNAcentral